Molecule: long non-coding RNA, 877 nt
Filed under: Lathyrus oleraceus (garden pea)
Lineage: Eukaryota; Viridiplantae; Streptophyta; Magnoliopsida; Fabales; Fabaceae
Description: Pisum sativum (pea) long non-coding RNA (PSAT_LNC002208)
Source: RNAcentral
AACAUAAUAACACAUAACAUUGCCUAAACCCUACUAACAACUAAGCUAGCAAAUGAUACUUGUACAAUAGGUCAUAAACCAAGCUUCAAGGCCAAAUCAACUUAAGUUGCAACCUACAGUAGCCAAUCAAACUUGAAAUGGGAACUAAUUUCACUAACAUUUAGAAAUAAAUAAUUGACCAAAUUGAAUUGAACCGACUAACUUCUAAUUCAGUGAGUUAACAAACUGAACUCACUGAGUUCAUUCUAACUAACUCCCAAGCAAUAUCCAAGCCUAAUCACAACCAACUCCAAGCCAUGUCUCCUCCAAAUCUAUCAUCUAUAAAUUCACAUCUCCAUCAACAUUUCACCUCUCUUGAGCUCACCACACUAAAAUCACUACAAAUUUUCCCUCACUUCCUCUCUCACCCUCACCAUACGCACAAUCCCAAGCACUUGAAGCUCACCAUUAGAGCUUCAACAUUGUCGUGCUAAAACUCCUUUCAAUCAUCACCAGUUCGUACACCUCAGAAUCCAUAAAGAAGUAUAAGAGUGGGAAAGAAGAUUCAAGGAAGAAGAAAGAAUCAGAGUUAUCACCUGGCAUCAUAAGUUCAUCGUCAUCAUUAUCUUCGUCUUUCUCCGGCCACAGUAAGUCUCAACCAUACUCAUUUUCUUCAAUUCCACUUACCAGCAUGUAGAAGACGUUGAGAGGAUUCAAACCCCUCACCCAUAGGGCUUUGAAUCAGUGAGGAUAGAAUUUAAUUAGAGCUUUUCAUUUUAGGGUUCUUGUGACGUUUAGGAUCAGUUAGGGAUUUAGAGGCCAUAUUAUGUGAAAUUGACCUUGGAUGUGUGUAGAGCUUGGAUAGACGGUUAUUUUGUCAUCUCCAUUGUUGGUUUUG